Molecule: ribosomal RNA, 248 nt
Filed under: uncultured bacterium
Lineage: Bacteria
Description: partial 16S ribosomal RNA
Rfam family: Bacterial small subunit ribosomal RNA
Source: RNAcentral
AUACGGAGGGUGCGAGCGUUGUUCGGAAUUAUUGGGCGUAAAGCGCACGCAGGCGGUUUAGAUAAGUCAGAUGUGAAAUCCCCGGGCUCAACCUGGGAACUGCAUUUGAAACUGUCUGACUAGAGUCUUGUAGAGGGGGGUAGAAUUCCAGGUGUAGCGGUGAAAUGCGUAGAGAUCUGGAGGAAUACCGGUGGCGAAGGCGGCCCCCUGGACAAAGACUGACGCUCAGGUGCGAAAGCGUGGGGAGC